CCCCCUUUUCCUUCCCAUUUUCAAAAUCCCCAAUUUAGAUAGGAACCCUAGCUCUCUCCCUCCUACCUCGGCGACUCCCGCCGCUGCCCGGCCGCCACGCACCGCCGUCUCCGGCGCCAUCUUCCUCCCUAUCUUUCUUCGUCUCUCCCUCUUUCACUUCUCCCUUUCUUUUCUAAUUUGGACAAUUAGUAAAUCCCCAAAUUAAGGAAAUCAAACCCUAGGUAGGCGGCUUUCCCGCAUUCGAGCGUCAUCGCCCCCUUCUUCUCCGGCGAAACCGCCGUCCCCCUUCUUCAUCAGAAUUCGACCUCCUCCCCUGGAUCGCGAGAAUCGAGAGGCAGCGCCUCCAAGUCCCUUUUCGGUACGCCGCUUGCCCCGCCGUCGCGCCUUCGCCGUCGUCGUCUCCCAGCACCGCACGGCGGAGGUCCCGACGCGGUGAAGCAGCCGCCGCCGUCCCGUCAUCUGCCGCAACUCCCGGGUCCCGUCGGAGUUCGCUCGUCGUCGGAUUUCGUCUCGGUGGCCGGCCUUAAGCUAAGUCUUCGAACCCUUAUUAUCUAGCUCAUCUGAUUAGGUGAAUUUUGGUGUUGGAGGGCUUAUAUGUGACUGAUGCUGGGUUUUUUGUGAUUUUCAUUAAGUGAGGAUUGAGUAGAGGCUAUGUGAAAGUCGUUAAACAGUUAUCUGGAGAUUUUUCUGUAUUUGCUGAGAUUCUAUUUGGUUGUUCAUUGUGGUGGGUUUAAGCCUUCCAAACUCUACUUGUUAUUGCCAUUACAUAUCUUGGCAUUACCCUUGUUUUCUUUCUGCAGCAGAUCCUCUUUUCUGGAUUAUUGCAGCCACUUUAACUGCAUUCCUUGGUGGUGAUUUUUGCAGGUGCACAACAAGGGUGUAGGGCUGUUAACUGUGCUUUGCAGGGCUGCUGCAGCUGAAAAGGCUGAUCUUGCCUCUUGGCAGCCUUCGGUUAGGGCUGGGGAGAGUGCAGGAGCUUGCUGCUACUUAUCCUUCCUAUUUUGGCAAUCCCUCGGUCUUCAUCAAGAACGUGUUUGAGAAAUUACUGCCAUUGCUGUUGCACCGCCGUUUGCUGGUGAUCUGGGCCCGCUGGUUCUCGAUCGUCGGAAGGGGAUGACUUGAACUUGUGAAGAAUAGAUUCGAGGCAUUUGCAUUAGGCAUUCAUGUAUUACUUGUGUUUUUUUUGUAAGUUAAGUCAUAGCUUGAAAUGUAACUAUUGUAACUCAUUCGACUAAGGAAAUAAACGAGCACAUGUUCAUUCUUCAA
This is a long non-coding RNA of Salvia splendens (bonfire salvia), 1266 nucleotides long. RefSeq lists it as uncharacterized. Lineage: Eukaryota; Viridiplantae; Streptophyta; Magnoliopsida; Lamiales; Lamiaceae. The transcript has 2 exons. The record is from RefSeq and is a predicted model, not a curated record.